GCACAAGAACUGGCAUGAACCGCCUCCAGAAAGAAUGUUAUGAAGUUGCCACAUACUCACAUGCUGGCAAACGGAGCAGACUUGAUCUCCAUCUGAGCCUAGUAACUGCCUUUCAUCCUCGUCAGCACAGCUCUGCUUCUGAAGUGACUUAUUUUAUCCUAACCGUGUGAUCCGAGGUUUGUGUCCCUUUUACCUGAGCAUCCAUGAUGCAGGUGAGAAGCAGGUGUGUUUUGGACAAUCUGGAUUGCACAAAGUGAUCUUUCUCAGUGACUGCUUUAAAUUGCCCCCCAACAAGGCCUGGAGAGAACAGAAAGAUACAGGAGGAGUGUAUCCUUAAGCUCUAUUCGCUUAAGCUGGGACAUCCAUCGUCUCCUGUCUUCUGACUUUGGUGCUCAAGGACGUUGGACUCGGACUGAAUUAUGUCACAGGUUUUCCUGGUUGUCCAGCUUGCAAAUGGCAGAGGGUGGAACUUCUCAGCCUCCAUAAUCAUCCUACAAUUUACUGGUUGCGGCUGGAAGUGUGGCAUGCCUGGGAAUCUGAGCACACAAGACUGCUCUCCAUGCUUCCAAAGGCACACGGUUAGAGGAGCUGAUUGGAAGCCACGUUUUAGGUUAUGAAACUUACAGACAGGUCUUCGAGGUCCCAGCUCCUCACUCCCCGGCAUAUGGAACUUCUCUGACCAGGGAUUGAACCCAUAAUCUCACAGUGAAAGCAUGGAGUCUUAACCACUGGACCACCAGGGAAGUUCUAUAAUUGAAAAUUCUUUCUUUCUCCCUCCCCACCCCACUUUCUCUUUUUCUCUCCUUACCUUAGCAUGACACUUAGAAAGUAUCUGAAUAAAAGUCUAGUGAAAUAGGAAGUAAAUGACUAACAAGCACAGAAGUGUUGGCUUCUAUAUUCUUGUCACUUAAGAAGUGACAUUAUGCAGAAUAGGGUAGUGGUUACAUGCAUAGGCUUUGGGACCAGACUAUCAUGAUUUGACUUCUAACCUCACCAUGUCCCCACAAAUUACCUUUCUGUGC
Long non-coding RNA from Bos taurus (domestic cattle), 1022 nucleotides. The record is from Ensembl. NCBI's taxonomy places the organism in Eukaryota, Metazoa, Chordata, Mammalia, Artiodactyla, Bovidae.